AUUCCGGUUGAUCCUGCCGGACCCGACUGCUAUUUGGGUGAGAAUAAGCCAUGCGAGUUGAAUGGGAUACCUAAGUUUCCCAUGGCAGACUGCUCAGUAACACAUGAUCAACUUGCCCUAUGGAGAAAAAUAAUCUCGGGAAACUGAGGAUAAUUUUUCAUAGUUGAAUAGGCUUGGAAAAGUUUUUCAAUCAAAAGAGUAAGGAAAAUGGUUCUUACUUGCCAUAGGAUGGGAUCGUGCUCGAUUAUGGUAGUUGGUGAGGUAAUGGCUCACCAAGCCGAUAAUCGAUAGGGGCCGUGAGAGCGGGAGCCCCGAGAUGGGUACUGAGACAACGACCCAGGCCUUACGAGGCGCAGCAGGUACGAAACCUCCACAAUACACGAAAGUGUGAUG
Molecule: ribosomal RNA, 393 nt
Filed under: Promethearchaeota archaeon
Lineage: Archaea; Promethearchaeati; Promethearchaeota
Description: bacterial SSU rRNA
Rfam family: Archaeal small subunit ribosomal RNA
Source: RNAcentral